This 253-nucleotide ribosomal RNA is filed under the name uncultured bacterium. Its description in RNAcentral is "partial 16S ribosomal RNA". It matches the Rfam family "Bacterial small subunit ribosomal RNA", at positions 524 to 776 of the family's 1533-position model. The record is from RNAcentral.
UACGGAGGGGGCUAGCGUUGUUCGGAAUUACUGGGCGUAAAGCGCACGUAGGCGGCUUCGUAAGUCAGAGGUGAAAGCCUGGAGCUCAACUCCAGAACUGCCUUUGAGACUGCGUCGCUCGAAUCCGGGAGAGGUGAGUGGAAUUCCGAGUGUAGAGGUGAAAUUCGUAGAUAUUCGGAAGAACACCAGUGGCGAAGGCGGCUCACUGGACCGGCAUUGACACUGAGGCACGAGAGCAUGGGUAGCGAACAGG